AUGGUUAAGUUAGAAAGGGCGCACGGUGAAUGCCUUGGCACUAGGAGCCGAUGAAGGACGGGACUAACACCGAUAUGCUUCGGGGAGCUGUAAGUGAGCUUUGAUCCGGAGAUUUCCGAAUGGGGAAACCCACUGUUCGUAAUGGAACAGUAUCUUUAUCUGAAUACAUAGGAUAUUGAAGGCAGACCCGGGGAACUGAAACAUCUAAGUACCCGGAGGAAGAGAAAGCAAAUGCGAUUUCCUGAGUAGCGGCGAGCGAAACGGAAUUAGCCCAAACCAAGAGGCUUGCCUCUUGGGGUUGUAGGACACUCUAUACGGAGUUACAAAGGAACGAAGUAAAUGAAGCGACCUGGAAAGGUCCGUCGAAGAAGGUAACAACCCUGUAGUUGAAACUUCGUUCCCUCUUGAGUGGAUCCUGAGUACGGCGGAACACGUGAAAUUCCGUCGGAAGCUGGGAGGACCAUCUCCCAAGGCUAAAUACUACCUAGUGACCGAUAGUGAACCAGUACCGUGAGGGAAAGGUGAAAAGCACCCCGGAAGGGGAGUGAAAGAGAUCCUGAAACCGUGUGCCUACAAGUAGUCAGAGCCCGUUAACGGGUGAUGGCGUGCCUUUUGUAGAAUGAACCGGCGAGUUACGAUCCCAUGCAAGGUUAAGCUGAUAAGGCGGAGCCGUAGCGAAAGCGAGUCUGAAUAGGGCGUUUAGUAUGUGGUUGUAGACCCGAAACCAGGUGAUCUACCCAUGUCCAGGGUGAAGUUCAGGUAACACUGAAUGGAGGCCCGAACCCACGCACGUUGAAAAGUGCGGGGAUGAGGUGUGGGUAGCGGAGAAAUUCCAAUCGAACCUGGAGAUAGCUGGUUCUCUCCGAAAUAGCUUUAGGGCUAGCCUCAUGUUGUGAGAGUCUUGGAGGUAGAGCACUGAUUGGACUAGGGGCCCCCAACGGGUUACCGAAUUCAGUCAAACUCCGAAUGCCAAAGACUUAUCCAUGGGAGUCAGACUGCGAGUGAUAAGAUCCGUAGUCAAAAGGGAAACAGCCCAGACCACCAGCUAAGGUCCCCAAGUAUACGUUAAGUGGAAAAGGAUGUGGAGUUGCUUAGACAACCAGGAUGUUGGCUUAGAAGCAGCCACCAUUUAAAGAGUGCGUAAUAGCUCACUGGUCGAGUGACUCUGCGCCGAAAAUGUACCGGGGCUAAACGUAUCACCGAAGCUGUGGAUUGACAUCUUUGAUGUCAGUGGUAGGAGAGCGUUCUAAGUGCAGCGAAGUCAGACCGUAAGGACUGGUGGAGCGCUUAGAAGUGAGAAUGCCGGUAUGAGUAGCGAAAGACAAGUGAGAAUCUUGUCCACCGAAUGCCUAAGGUUUCCUGAGGAAGGCUCGUCCGCUCAGGGUUAGUCGGGACCUAAGCCGAGGCUGAAAAGCGUAGGCGAUGGCCAACAGGUUGAUAUUCCUGUACCACCUCCCCGCCGUUUGAGUAAUGGGGGGACGCAGUAGGAUAGGGUAAGCGCGCUGCUGGAUAUGCGCGUUCAAGCAGUUAGGCUGAUGAGUAGGCAAAUCCGCUCAUCAUGAAGGCUGAGCUGUGAUGACGAGGGAAUUAUAGUACCGAAGUUCCUGAUUCCACACUGCCAAGAAAAGCCUCUAGCGAGGCGGGAGGUGCCCGUACCGCAAACCGACACAGGUAGGCGAGGAGAGAAUCCUAAGGUGAUCGAGAGAACUCUCGUUAAGGAACUCGGCAAAAUGACCCCGUAACUUCGGGAGAAGGGGUGCUCUGGUAGGGUGUAUAGCCCGAGAGAGCCGCAGUGAAUAGGCCCAGGCGACUGUUUAGCAAAAACACAGGUCUCUGCGAAGCCGCAAGGCGAAGUAUAGGGGCUGACGCCUGCCCGGUGCUGGAAGGUUAAGAGGAGGGGUUAUCCUUUGGGAGAAGCUCUGAAUCGAAGCCCCAGUAAACGGCGGCCGUAACUAUAACGGUCCUAAGGUAGCGAAAUUCCUUGUCGGGUAAGUUCCGACCCGCACGAAAGGCGUAACGAUCUGGGCACUGUCUCAACGAGAGACUCGGUGAAAUUAUAGUACCUGUGAAGAUGCAGGUUACCCGCGACAGGACGGAAAGACCCCGUGGAGCUUUACUGUAGCCUGAUAUUGAAUUUUGGUACAGCUUGUACAGGAUAGGUAGGAGCCUGAGAAGCCGGAGCGCUAGCUUCGGUGGAGGCGUCGGUGGGAUACUACCCUGGCUGUAUUGAAAUUCUAACCCGCGGCCCUGAUCGGGCCGGGAGACAGUGUCAGGUGGGCAGUUUGACUGGGGCGGUCGCCUCCUAAAAUGUAACGGAGGCGCCCAAAGGUUCCCUCAGAAUGGUUGGAAAUCAUUCGUAGAGUGUAAAGGCACAAGGGAGCUUGACUGCGAGACCUACAAGUCGAGCAGGGACGAAAGUCGGGCUUAGUGAUCCGGUGGUUCCGCAUGGAAGGGCCAUCGCUCAACGGAUAAAAGCUACCCCGGGGAUAACAGGCUUAUCUCCCCCAAGAGUCCACAUCGACGGGGAGGUUUGGCACCUCGAUGUCGGCUCAUCGCAUCCUGGGGCUGUAGUCGGUCCCAAGGGUUGGGCUGUUCGCCCAUUAAAGCGGUACGCGAGCUGGGUUCAGAACGUCGUGAGACAGUUCGGUCCCUAUCCGUCGUGGGCGUAGGAAAUUUGAGAGGAGCUGUCCUUAGUACGAGAGGACCGGGAUGGACACACCGCUGGUGUACCAGUUGUCUUGCCAAAGGCAUCGCUGGGUAGCUAUGUGUGGACGGGAUAAGUGCUGAAAGCAUCUAAGCAUGAAGCCCCCCUCAAGAUGAGAUUUCCCAUAGCGCAAGCUAGUAAGAUCCCUGAAAGAUGAUCAGGUUGAUAGGUCAGAGGUGGAAGCGUGGCGACAUGUGUAGCUGACUGAUACUAAUCGAUCGAGGACUUAACCAAAC
Molecule: ribosomal RNA, 2940 nt
Filed under: Priestia megaterium NCT-2
Lineage: Bacteria; Bacillati; Bacillota; Bacilli; Caryophanales; Bacillaceae
Description: bacterial LSU rRNA
Rfam family: Bacterial large subunit ribosomal RNA
Source: RNAcentral